RNAcentral lists this long non-coding RNA (2999 nucleotides) under Homo sapiens (human). RNAcentral's name for it is "HSALNT0311117". Lineage: Eukaryota; Metazoa; Chordata; Mammalia; Primates; Hominidae. The record is from RNAcentral.
GGACCAGGAUUCUAAAUGAGACCUGAGGGAAUGGAGCUGUUGUUGACAAGAGCUGUUAGACAAACAGGACAUGGAGGAGGAGUGGUCAUGCAUACCUCAAUGGGACAAAGUAUCUCCUCUGAGACUUCAGAAAAUCCUUUUCUUCUGGAGCCACUCUGUUCUGGAUUACCCUGAGAUUUUAAUGAGAUAAAGUCUAGAGAUGUAUAUAACUUUUCUGCAUCAUUUUGGAAUUUUAAUGAGAUGAAACGAGACCCAGAGACACCUGUUCUAGACCACUUUGGGAUCUUAAUGAGGUAAGGCUAACGGAGGAUGGACUAAAUUCAUUUUUUCCCAAGCUGUUCAGAGACCAAAUACACAGACAAGAAAUGCAAACAUAUGGAUGAAGUCUUCCAAAUUGCUACUUCCUCUAACUCCUUUUCUAAUCUUCAUGUUGUUUCUUUUUUAUUUAGAGUGUGUGUGUUGGUAGGUGUCAUCAGUGGAGGGCUGGUGGUUGGAAGUUAGAGGAGUAGCUGUUUAUGAAUUCUAGACCUGGACAGUCUUUGUCAUUAAGUUGAUAUGUGACCCCAUGGAUGCAAACAGGUUGAAGACAAGAGCUCUCUUUAAUGGAACCUGAACAGUGCCUAACUCCUGUAGAUAUUCACUGAAUGUUAAAUAACAACAGUGAUCAUGUAAUAAUGAUGCCCAAUUCACUUGGGAGAGAAUACCAAAUAGCUUGGAAUUUUCCUGUUACUGCCAGCAUGGCCUGAGAGCAUCCUGAGAGAGGUCAAAAGUCCGUCUGACUCACCUGUGCUGAGUGACUUGAAUGCCAUCUAAUCUAACUUCAAGGUGACUGGAUAGAUUGUACAUGUGGUAAUAAAAUGCUAAUCGUAGUGUCAUAAUUUUAGAGAUUCAAGAAGAAAUUAUUAGAAACACAAAUUAAGAGCUUUAAUAUGCUCAUAUGUACCUGUGCAUAACUUUUUUUAAAGCACCUAGAAACUGCAAGUCAAUAAACAUUGUUUUCCCAUGCUGCCCUAUACUCAUCCAACCCAGCGAUGAUGAAAUGCAUACUGACAAGAGCAAUAAGAAAAAUAAUAACAUUAUCACAGGAUCAAUGUCUAUUGCUAGCUUCAUAAAGGACUUGGCUUCCCAUUGAUGUUUAAUUUUUGUAAAUGCCUCUGGAAAUUUAAGUAGCAGUAGGAAAACAUAAUGUUCAAUUUCUCCUAACAUAACCUCUUAAACUUUGGACGUGUGCAGUUUUCAGUCUGGGACAAAUUUAGGAGAACAAAUCUCUUUGAAACAGACUGGCAGAUUUAUUUUAAAUAAGCUUGCUUUAAGGCUACAGGUCUAGGAGACAGAAUCAUAGAAGAUGAUUGGAACAACGGGAGCUGAAAAAUCUUGGAAGCCUGCUUUUUCUGUGACUCGUUUUGGUGUAUACAUCAGCAUAAAGGGGAGAGUCUCCUCUAUCCAUGUCAUGGCUGAUGGUAGCAUCUGUGCCAAAUUUUAAGCACUAGGGGACAAGUUGGGAGGCUCCGAAAAGCUCACCUGUCUCAGAACACCACGAUAUCCUAGCAUUUUUGUUAUUCCUCCUUGCUCUACCUCAACUGCUCUGGCAUUGACUCAAAUUCCUGGAACUGCAUAAUCAGCAUCUGGACGAAUAAUAAAUGAACUCCUGCUAGCUCUACCAUAGGAGAAGCAUUAGAGUACUUUGAAGUCCUAGAACCUUCAUCUUCUUAGACUUAAGAGUGGUAUUUCUGAAACUUGAGCUUGCAUCAGACUCACCUAAGGCAUCAUGUUAAAACACUGAUUGCUGAACUCUACCCUGAUAGUUUUUGGUUCUGUAGUUCUAAGGCAGAGCUCAUUAAUUUGAGUUUCUAACCAGUUCCCAUAUGAUGCUGAUGCAACUUGUCCUGCAGACCAUACAUUGAGGACCGCUAGCCUAGAGUUCCCCUUUUUUGACCCAGAUGCUGGACUGUUGUAAGCCAACAGUUAGGUCUUUCUGAAAUCCAUGGGCUCAAGCAGGGGCAGAAAAUAUCCAGAUGCCAAAAGGAAGCUUAUUAUUUUAUAGGGACCUCUGCAGAGUGAGCGCCACACUUUGGCUGAAGAGUACAGUUUGUUCCUCACCAUGACCUUGGGGUCCCGUCCCAACUAAUCCAGAGCCAUGUGGGUUUGCAGAGACAGGCAUUCCUCCCAUAUUCUGGCCUCUGACCUGAAAUCUUCUAACUUGAGAAGAGAACAGUCACCUUCCUGGGAAUCUGAAAUAGAAAGGCAAAUUUGUGAAGGCCUUUCUGACAUCUGAAUGGCUGGAUUUGCAUUUGCUGUAGUGAUAACUCAGUGCCAUCCAGACCUGACAGUGAUGAACGAUGCUGGAUUCUGCUCAAAUUCCAUCAAAGCCUGCAGGGUGAAGACUCUGGUCCCUGAACCCAGUGUCCUCUGGCCCUUCCUGUCAAAGCAUUGGAGUGACAGGGAGACAUUUGAGAGGCAGUGAGGAGGAAGGACAGAGGCAUCAGGGUGGGUGUGGCAGCUUCCAUAUUUAGCAGAGAGAAGCAGAGAUGAGGGUAAGAUUAUGAGUGGGAGAGGAGGGAAGGUUAGAGAACAAUGGAAAAAUUUUCUUCUUCAGUGUAAGAAUUCUGGACCCUUAUUUGAAGUCUCUCCUGCUUUGUUGGGCAAAAGUAAUGAGAAACUCCACUUGGCUUCAGAAUGCAGUGUCAACUCCACAUGAAUCAAAGCAAUAAAAAAGAAUCAACUCAGAGCAGGCUGAGCUAUGUGAGGUGAGGACAGUCUGUUCUGAAGGUCUACACAUUAAUGCUUCCUAUUGGGAAUUCAAAUCGGCAAUUUGUUCUUCUUCUGGUUGUUUGAAUCUUCAAAAUAGAGGGAAGACACCUGGAUGAAACAUUUUCACAGACUCUGCAAUUCCCUUAAGAGGAUCCCAGAGCCCUUAAGCUUCUCUUAGAUUCCUCUGAUUUUUUUCAGCCCAAGGACUGUUACCACAUGUCUUCCAUCUUGCCCACAAUUUUAGCAGG